UGGGGAAUUUUGGACAAUGGGCGCAAGCCUGAUCCAGCCAUGCCGCGUGCGGGAAGAAGGCCUUCGGGUUGUAAACCGCUUUUGUCAGGGAAGAAAUCUUCUGAGUUAAUACCUCGGGAGGAUGACGGUACCUGAAGAAUAAGCACCGGCUAACUACGUGCCAGCAGCCGCGGUAAUACGUAGGGUGCAAGCGUUAAUCGGAAUUACUGGGCGUAAAGCGUGCGCAGGCGGUUUUGUAAGACAGAGGUGAGAUCCCCGGGCUCAACCUGGGAACUGCCUUUGUGACUGCAAGGCUUGAGUGCGAGCAGAGGGGGAUGGAAUUCCGCGUGUAGCAGUGAAAUGCGUAGAUAUGCGGAGGAACACCCGAUGGCGAAGGCAAUCCCCCUGGGGCCUGCACUGACGCUCAUGCACGAAAGCGUGGGGAGCAAACAGGAUUAGAUACCCUGGUAGUCCACGCCCUAAACGAUGUCAACUGGUUGUUGGGAAGGUUCCUUCUCAGUAACGUAGCUAACGCGUGAAGUUGACCGCCUGGGGAGUACGGCCGCAAGGUUG
RNAcentral lists this ribosomal RNA (552 nucleotides) under uncultured bacterium. Its description in RNAcentral is "partial 16S ribosomal RNA". It matches the Rfam family "Bacterial small subunit ribosomal RNA", at positions 355 to 896 of the family's 1533-position model. The record is from RNAcentral.